Molecule: ribosomal RNA, 301 nt
Filed under: uncultured bacterium
Lineage: Bacteria
Description: partial 16S ribosomal RNA
Rfam family: Bacterial small subunit ribosomal RNA
Source: RNAcentral
CAGUAGCCACGGGAAUACAGAGGGUGCGAGCGUUAAUCGGAUUUACUGGGCGUAAAGCGUGCGUAGGCGGCUUCUUAAGUCGGAUGUGAAAUCCCUGAGCUUAACUUAGGAAUUGCAUUCGAUACUGGGAAGCUAGAGUAUGGGAGAGGAUGGUAGAAUUCCAGGUGUAGCGGUGAAAUGCGUAGAGAUCUGGAGGAAUACCGAUGGCGAAGGCAGCCAUCUGGCCUAAUACUGACGCUGAGGUACGAAAGCAUGGGGAGCAAACAGGAUUAGAGACCCCAGUAGUCCAUGUCUCUUAUAC